UGAAGAUCUCGGUUUUCCGGGGGCCUUCAUCUCCUGAAGAGCUGUUAGACGAGGUCUCUCAUUACUUGAAGUCGUCCAGUCCAGACGCCGCUACCCUCAUAGCUCCUCUAAAAGCUGCAUCCAUUGAUUCAUGUGACACAAUAGCGAAUGUGAAGGGAGGAAAGAAGAAAAAAGACAAGCAUUAGAAGAACAAAA
Long non-coding RNA from Spea bombifrons (plains spadefoot toad), 195 nucleotides. RefSeq lists it as uncharacterized. The record is from RefSeq and is a predicted model, not a curated record. NCBI's taxonomy places the organism in Eukaryota, Metazoa, Chordata, Amphibia, Anura, Pelobatidae. The transcript has 2 exons.